Long non-coding RNA from Triticum aestivum (bread wheat), 863 nucleotides. RefSeq lists it as uncharacterized. Lineage: Eukaryota; Viridiplantae; Streptophyta; Magnoliopsida; Poales; Poaceae. The transcript has 3 exons. The record is from RefSeq and is a predicted model, not a curated record.
GUUUUGAAUGGUGGUAUCCGGGGUGGUACUCAUGGCGUGCACAUACGCGUAUACCCCGUCAGGAUUGCUACUAACUACAACGACAUCACGCACCACUUCCUUUCUUGCAUCUUCGUUCACUUGGAUCUGAGAAAGCAGGCUAGACUACGUCAUGCAGAUAGGGAUCGGCGAGAGGCUGCUUCUUUGUUACAGAGCACUGUAUUUCAGUGCAUAGUAGCGGCAACUCUCUGUUUGACUCUGUGCUUCGGGUCUUCUAUCGGCCUAGGAUAAUGUAGUUGACACAAGAGCCACAGAGAUCCACUAAUCUACUUACUGAUAUAUUUUUUGUUUUGUUAUCUGACCCCUUCGUUGCUAACAGAGAACUUGAAAACAGCGCAUCAUUUUCUCUAAAAAGGUCUGAAAUGGUGCCGACGAAGAUCAACUUCGAUACGUGCCUAUUUAUGUGACCAUCUAUUGCCGUCAAUGUCAGCACAUCUGACCUCCUGUUCGGCGUAGGGCUGUCAUCGGAGCUCAUGUCGCCAUUGGGAAUCUCUUCACCACCAUCAACAAACAUCACUUCAAGUGCCCAUUCAACGGCUAGUGCUCCUUUCUGUCAUGGCACGAAAACCGUUUCCGGUUCACCAUGAAUUGGGAUUCAGUCUGUCCUUCCUAUUUUGAUCAUUUAUGUUAAGCGACUUUGCUUCUUGCUUAUGAAGACAAGGAGCCGACAACUCUGUAAUGAUAGAAUAAUGUACUAGCCGCCAUCCCGGCGGUCCAUCUAGCCUCGUCGCAGGGCGUGUGGAGGGCAAUCCCAGCGGCACGCCUUCUGCUAGCUCAAGUCGUCAUAGCAGUCACUUUGUGAUCUAUGCACAUGGAUGUAACGU